ACGCUGGCGGCAGGCCUAACACAUGCAAGUCGAGCGCGCCUUCGGGCGAGCGGCGGACGGGUUAGUAACGCGUGGGAACGUGCCCAGAUCUACGGAAUAGCCACUGGAAACGGUGAGUAAUACCGUAUACGCCCUUCGGGGGAAAGAUUUAUCGGAUUUGGAUCGGCCCGCGUUAGAUUAGGUAGUUGGUGGGGUAACGGCCUACCAAGCCUACGAUCUAUAGCUGGUUUUAGAGGAUGAUCAGCAACACUGGGACUGAGACACGGCCCAGACCCCUACGGGAGGCAGCAGUGGGGAAUCUUGGACAAUGGGGGCAACCCUGAUCCAGCCAUGCCGCGUGAGUGAAGAAGGCCCUAGGGUCGUAAAACUCUUUCGCCUGUGAUGAUAAUGACAGUAGCAGGUAAAGAAACCCCGGCUAACUCCGUGCCAGCAGCCGCGGUAAUACGGAGGGGGUUAGCGUUGUUCGGAAUUACUGGGCGUAAAGCGCACGUAGGCGGAUUAGAAAGUUAGAGGUGAAAUCCCGGGGCUCAACCCCGGAACUGCCUUUAAACUACUAGUCUAGAGUUCGAGAGAGGUGAGUGGAAUUCC
Molecule: ribosomal RNA, 588 nt
Filed under: uncultured Alphaproteobacteria bacterium
Lineage: Bacteria; Pseudomonadati; Pseudomonadota; Alphaproteobacteria
Description: bacterial SSU rRNA
Rfam family: Bacterial small subunit ribosomal RNA
Source: RNAcentral